RNAcentral lists this ribosomal RNA (1371 nucleotides) under uncultured bacterium. RNAcentral's name for it is "bacterial SSU rRNA". It matches the Rfam family "Bacterial small subunit ribosomal RNA". The record is from RNAcentral.
UAGAGUUUGAUCCUGGCUCAGGAUGAACGCUGGCGGCGUGCUUAACACAUGCAAGUCGAACGAGAGAAUUGCUAGCUUGCUAAUAAUUCUCUAGUGGCGCACGGGUGAGUAACACGUGAGUAACCUGCCCCCGAGAGCGGGAUAGCCCUGGGAAACUGGGAUUAAUACCGCAUAGUAUCGAAAGAUUAAAGCAGCAAUGCGCUUGGGGAUGGGCUCGCGGCCUAUUAGUUAGUUGGUGAGGUAACGGCUCACCAAGGCGAUGACGGGUAGCCGGUCUGAGAGGAUGUCCGGCCACACUGGAACUGAGACACGGUCCAGACACCUACGGGUGGCAGCAGUCGAGAAUCAUUCACAAUGGGGGAAACCCUGAUGGUGCGACGCCGCGUGGGGGAAUGAAGGUCUUCGGAUUGUAAACCCCUGUCAUGUGGGAGCAAAUUAAAAAGAUAGUACCACAAGAGGAAGAGACGGCUAACUCUGUGCCAGCAGCCGCGGUAAUACAGAGGUCUCAAGCGUUGUUCGGAAUCACUGGGCGUAAAGCGUGCGUGGGCUGUUUCGUAAGUCGUGUGUGAAAGGCGCGGGCUCAACCCGCGGACGGCACAUGAUACUGCGAGACUAGAGUAAUGGAGGGGGAACCGGAAUUCUCGGUGUAGCAGUGAAAUGCGUAGAUAUCGAGAGGAACACUCGUGGCGAAGGCGGGUUCCUGGACAUUAACUGACGCUGAGGCACGAAGGCCAGGGGAGCGAAAGGGAUUAGAUACCCCUGUAGUCCUGGCAGUAAACGGUGCACGCUUGGUGUGCGGGGAAUCGACCCCCUGCGUGCCGGAGCUAACGCGUUAAGCGUGCCGCCUGGGGAGUACGGUCGCAAGAUUAAAACUCAAAGAAAUUGACGGGGACCCGCACAAGCGGUGGAGUAUGUGGCUUAAUUCGAUGCAACGCGAAGAACCUUACCUGGGCUUGACAUGUAAUGAACAACAUGUGAAAGCAUGCGACUCUUCGGAGGCGUUACACAGGUGCUGCAUGGCCGUCGUCAGCUCGUGUCGUGAGAUGUUUGGUUAAGUCCAGCAACGAGCGCAACCCCUGUUGCCAGUUACCAGCACGUGAAGGGGGGGACUCUGGCGAGACUGCCCAGAUCAACUGGGAGGAAGGUGGGGACGACGUCAGGUCAGUAUGGCCCUUAUGCCCAGGGCUGCACACGCACUACAAUGCCCAGUACAGAGGGGGCCGAAGCCGCGAGGCGGAGGAAAUCCUAAAAACUGGGCCCAGUUCGGACUGUAGGCUGCAACCCGCCUACACGAAGCCGGAAUCGCUAGUAAUGGCGCAUCAGCUACGGCGCCGUGAAUACGUUACCGGGUCUUGCACUCACCGCCCGUCA